GACGAACGCUGGCGGCGUGCUUAACACAUGCAAGUCGAACGGAAAGGCCCUGCUUUUGUGGGGUGCUCGAGUGGCGAACGGGUGAGUAACACGUGAGUAACCUGCCCUUGACUUUGUGAUAACUUCAGGAAACUGGGGCUAAUACCGGAUAGGAGCCCCUGCUGCAUGGUGGGGGUUGGAAAGUUUCGGCGGUUGGGGAUGGACUCGCGGCUUAUCAGCUGGUUGGUGGGGUAGUGGCUUACCAAGGCUUUGACGGGUAGCCGGCCUGAGAGGGUGACCGGCCACAUUGGGACUGAGAUAGGGCCCAGACUCCUACGGGAGGCAGCAGUGGGGAAUAUUGCACAAUGGGCGGAAGCCUGAUGCAGCAACGCCGCGUGCGGGAUGACGGCCUUCGGGUUGUAAACCGCUUUCGCCUGUGACGAAGCGUGAGUGACGGUAAUGGGUAAAGAAGCACCGGCUAACUACGUG
Molecule: ribosomal RNA, 468 nt
Filed under: uncultured bacterium
Lineage: Bacteria
Description: partial 16S ribosomal RNA
Rfam family: Bacterial small subunit ribosomal RNA
Source: RNAcentral